This 514-nucleotide ribosomal RNA is filed under the name uncultured bacterium. RNAcentral's name for it is "bacterial SSU rRNA". It matches the Rfam family "Bacterial small subunit ribosomal RNA", at positions 8 to 523 of the family's 1533-position model. The record is from RNAcentral.
AGAGUUUAAUCCUGGCUCAGGAUGAACGCUAGCGGCAGGCUUAACACAUGCAAGUCGAGGGGUAUUAGUUUUCGGACUAAGAGACCGGCGCACGGGUGCGUAACGCGUAUGCAAUCUACCUUUUACAGAGGGAUAGCCCAGAGAAAUUUGGAUUAAUACCUCAUAGUAUUAUGAAAUGGCAUCAUUUUAUAAUUAAAGUCACAACGGUAAAAGAUGAGCAUGCGUCCCAUUAGCUAGUUGGUAAGGUAACGGCUUACCAAGGCUACGAUGGGUAGGGGUCCUGAGAGGGAGAUCCCCCACACUGGUACUGAGACACGGACCAGACUCCUACGGGAGGCAGCAGUGAGGAAUAUUGGACAAUGGGCGCAAGCCUGAUCCAGCCAUGCCGCGUGCAGGAUGACGGUCCUAUGGAUUGUAAACUGCUUUUUAUACGAGAAGAAACACUCCGACGUGUCGGAGCUUGACGGUAUCGUAAGAUAAGGAUCGGCUAACUCCGUGCCAGCAGCCGCGGUAA